RNAcentral lists this ribosomal RNA (489 nucleotides) under uncultured Sphingobacteriales bacterium. RNAcentral's name for it is "bacterial SSU rRNA". It matches the Rfam family "Bacterial small subunit ribosomal RNA", at positions 903 to 1382 of the family's 1533-position model. Lineage: Bacteria; Pseudomonadati; Bacteroidota; Sphingobacteriia; Sphingobacteriales. The record is from RNAcentral.
CUCAGAAACUACAAAGGAAUUGACGGGGCCCGCACAAGCGGAGGAGCAUGUGGUUUAAUUCGAUGAUACGCGAGGAACCUUACCUGGGCUCGAACGUAAGAUGACUGUAGGUGAAAGCUUACAUCUCUUCGGAGCAUUUUACGAGGUGCUGCAUGGUUGUCGUCAGCUCGUGCCGUGAGGUGUCGGGUUAAGUCCCAUAACGAGCGCAACCCUACCUUUAGUUGCCAUCAGGUAAUGCUGGGGACUCUAAAGGAACUGCCUACGCAAGUAGUGAGGAAGGCGGGGAUGACGUCAAAUCAGCACGGCCCUUACGUCCAGGGCUACACACGUGCUACAAUGGCCGAUACAGAGGGCAGCUACCUGGUGACAGGAUGCAAAUCUCCAAAGUCGGUCUCAGUUCGGAUCGGAGUCUGCAACCCGACUCCGUGAAGUUGGAUUCGCUAGUAAUCGCGCAUCAGCCAUGGCGCGGUGAAUACGUUCCCGGGCCUU